This is a long non-coding RNA of Oncorhynchus tshawytscha (Chinook salmon), 686 nucleotides long. NCBI's taxonomy places the organism in Eukaryota, Metazoa, Chordata, Actinopteri, Salmoniformes, Salmonidae. The record is from Ensembl.
GCACAGUGCAUUCUUCCAUCACAUGCACAGUGCAUUCUUCCAUCACAUGCACAGUGCAUUCUUCCAUCACAUGUACAGCUGCUUCUCAAGAUCUUGCACACUACUGAGAUACUAUUGAUCCCACACUACUACACUGUCUGAGCCAAGGACUACAUGCUUUCUGAAAGUUUCCACCUCUGAAUAUUCCCCAAAAUGUGCAACCCUACUCACCACAAAGCUCAAGGCCCUGGGACUGAACUCCUUCCUAUGCAACUGGGUCCUGGACUUCCGGAUGGGCCACCCCCGGGUGAUGACGAUAGGCAACAUUAACCCCGCCACAAUGAUCCUCAACAUGGAGGCCCCACAACGUUGUUUCCUCAGUCCCCUCCUGUACUCCCUGUAUACCCACUACUGCAUGGCUUCACACAGUUCCAACUCCAUCAAGUUCCCCGAAGACUCGACAGUAGUAGUCCUGAUUACCAACAACCUCAGGAGGCAAAAGAAAUUCAAAAUGUCCCAGAGUGCCCUCAAUGUUCUACAGAAGCACCAUUGAGAGCAUACUGACGGGCUGCAUCACAUCACUGCAGCUCCACCGCUACUGAACAUUUGUAAACAUGAGUAUAUUAUUAUUAUUUUUGUAUUAUUGUUUCAUUCACACUCUUGGAGCUUUAGUAUUUCACUGUACACUGCAACUACAUCUGCGACCC